GAUGAACGCUGGCGGCGUGCUUAACACAUGCAAGUCGAACGGGAAAUAUUUCAUUGAGACUUCGGUGGAUUUGAUCUAUUUCUAGUGGCGGACGGGUGAGUAACGCGUGGGUAACCUGCCUUAUACAGGGGGAUAACAGUCAGAAAUGGCUGCUAAUACCGCAUAAGCGCACAGAGCUGCAUGGCUCAGUGUGAAAAACUCCGGUGGUAUAAGAUGGACCCGCGUUGGAUUAGCUAGUUGGUGGGGUAACGGCCCACCAAGGCGACGAUCCAUAGCCGGCCUGAGAGGGUGAACGGCCACAUUGGGACUGAGACACGGCCCAGACUCCUACGGGAGGCAGCAGUGGGGAAUAUUGCACAAUGGGGGAAACCCUGAUGCAGCGACGCCGCGUGAAGGAAGAAGUAUCUCGGUAUGUAAACUUCUAUCAGCAGGGAAGAUAGUGACGGUACCUGACUAAGAAGCCCCGGCU
RNAcentral lists this ribosomal RNA (469 nucleotides) under uncultured bacterium. RNAcentral's name for it is "bacterial SSU rRNA". It matches the Rfam family "Bacterial small subunit ribosomal RNA", at positions 28 to 498 of the family's 1533-position model. The record is from RNAcentral.